Molecule: long non-coding RNA, 3959 nt
Organism: Equus asinus (donkey)
Lineage: Eukaryota; Metazoa; Chordata; Mammalia; Perissodactyla; Equidae
Source: Ensembl
UGUUGGGCUGCUGAGGGGCGAUGAGGCCAGCCUGGGAGUGGUGGUGGAGAGCCCCCCUGAGCAGGACAGCAGCACAGAGGGCAGGAAGCCAAGCCAAGAGGCUGGGAGGGACGAUCCCUGCUGAUGGCGUCGAGCACCCAGGCUGUCAGCUGGAUGAGAAUGGAGAGCUCUACCUGCUUCUCCUGCUGUGCUGUGCCCGGUGUCCAGAGCCAGCCGGCAGCAGCAGGGCAUCAGUGACGUGCGCUGGACCAGUGAACACUGCAGACCACACAGGAGCAUACUUCCAGGAGUGCUAAGCGCCGUUGGCUCCUUCACUGUCCAUGGAGCCCAGCUCUGUGCCCGGCCCUGACUUGCACUGUAGGCAUCAUGGCCGUGAAGGAGACAAACUCUGCCGCCCCCUGGAGCCGACGUCACAGAGGGGCAAACAGUGAGCAGAGCACAGCAGCCCACUGUGCAUGUGCAGCCAGAAGCGUCUUCUCCAAUGGAGGCCGAGGACGUCACUCCCUGGUCCUGAUCCCCUGCUCCUUAGAACCUGAGCCAGGGCCCUUGCAGUGGAACUGAGCUUGGACUAAUGAGGCAGCUCAGAGGUAGCCGCUGGCCAGCCAGCCAGGGCCCAACCUCACAGAAGAGGAGAAAGCCUCAUCAGCAGAGCAUUCCACUGUCAGAGCUGACUGCUUUCCAGGCCUGAGCUGGAGGAUAUCUAAGCUGGGCCGUGCUCUUCCAGUGGGAUCAAUGCCUGAUUCACCUCAGGGAGCCCGAUGGGGUCUGGCCAGGUGCCCAGCAUGUGGGCUUCGCAGAGGGCCCUGCUCUCUGUGGGUGAAGGAAAAUCUUCUCUGCCCGCUCAGAUGCUGGGACCGUCCCAGGGCCGUCUCAUGAGCAGGUGGAAAGACUCUGCAUGCAGUGUCACCGGCCUUGCGAGCAGCAGCCAGCGGCCUCCUGGACAUCCUCAGGCUUCUGAGGAGCCCCUGCGGAAGCUCCCUGACACACGACCCUCCCUCUGGACCCCAAGAUGUCUGGCUUCCUGUGGAGCUCCCUUAGACAUGGAGCUGGGUGAGCAGCCCAGACCUCGGUCAGCACUCCCAGGGGGAUCGCUCUGCACCACUGUCAUAAAAAGGAGACAUCGUCCCAGUGGACAGGCCCAGCUCCUGCGUUACAGUCAGAAAACUCAGCCUGACGUGGAAGUGACCCGAGGCUGCUUUGAGGGCCCAAACCCGUGCCGCAGUCCAGGCUCUGAGGUUUCACCUCAGUGGGGCUGAAAUGCAGACCUGCAGUGAGGGUGGCCCCUCCUCAUGACCCCAGGUGCCUCCAGGCCGUCCUCCUAGUUCACCAAGUGUUUUGGACACGAUGCUUCUUAGGUCACGGAGGUGCCAGGUCCCUUCUGAGUUGAAUCUCUGCAGAUAGUGCCACUGUGGUUGGCAUAGCUCCGCUGGCCGCUGGACCAAGGCCUCUCACCUGCAUAUCCCUGCAUGUCCACGUGUCCUUCUUGCACGGCCCCCACGCACAGCGGAAGGCGUCCACCUUGGGCCGAACUCCGACGCCGCUGGCCAGCUCUGGAUUCUAUGUCUCACCUCCACAUAAAUGCAGGGGGGCGGCUCGACCUCCCGCUCUGGGAUGGGACUGGCUGGGACCUCACAUGGGCCAUACCCUGUUCGGCUUGCCAGGCCGGGUCCUGCUCGGCAGGCAGCAGCACAGGCCUCGUAGCACUGUGAGCAGCUUCCCAGUGGCGCCCCCACCUCUGGCCCUGGCUGCAGCCUGAAGGGGAGGCUGGGGUCGCCCCACCAGGCUAUCCAGCCUGCCGAGAGUCUCUGUGGCAGUUUCCCUCCCGGGCCCCACGGCUGGUGCUGGUGCUGUGGGUGGAGGGGACGGCCCCGGGGACCCGCGGAGAGGUCGGGCUGGGGGUGGUGGCGCCCGACUCCAGGCGAGCAGGCUCUGUGACCUUCAGCACUGACUCCUGCUUCUCCUCGGGCCACUGACAGCCAGCCUCGCAAAGCCAGGUGGGCAGAACCGGCUCACUGCCACCACGUCAGCCGAGAUGGGCAGAGGCCCUCAGCUGUGCUGUGCAGGCUGGCAAAGAGCUGCAGCUGCUGGCCUCGGCGGACGGGAGGGACCUCCCGGUGCUGGUGUGCCCAUCCCCCUGGGCCUUCUGAGACUUCAGGAUGAAGAACAUGCCCACACUAUUGUCAUACCUUCAUCUGCGAGACUCCUGGAUUUGAUUCCACUGAAAACCCAUCUUCAUCAUUGCUUCUGUCACCCAGGAGUCCCUUGUGUCACAAGGCAGCUCCUAUACGGGCUCAGUUUCGGCCAGCUCUGAUUGACCCAUGGGUCUCCCAUGACCUCUUCUAAGGUCUUCCUCUUCCUGGGGUCAAGGGUCAGCAGGACUCUCAUAAUUGGAUGCAUUCCAACAAAAGGAGCAUGGGGAGCGAGUAGGCCCCUCUGAGCAUGCUCUGCCGCACGUCACUGAAGUCCUCUCCCCAGAACGGCGGGGACCCAGUGAGCAUGACAUGGAGCAGCACGCCAAGGCUCCAGCCGUCAGCUGGGGGGCCGUCUUAGGGCUGCAGUCGCAGGACCUCCGGGGCCGUGUAGCCGGGGGUGCCCCAGUAGGUGCUCAGUGGCCGGCCGGGGACCACGCUGCUGAGGCCGAAGUCGGCCAGCUUCGCGUUCCCCUCCGGGUCCCGGUGCACGAUGCCCUUGCGGUGGCAGUACUGGAGAGCCGAGACGAGCUGCCGGGACCGGCCGCGGGCCUCCUCCGUCAGGGGGCCAUGCUGCAACCGAGGGUCGAGGGUGUCCCCUCUGCUGAUGUAUUCUGUGAUGAUGAACAGCGUCUCCUCCGUGUCGAUCACCUCUAGCAGCUUUACAAUGUGGGGUGGUGCAAUAUCUUCAAACUCUGCAUUUCACCGAGGAGUCUCUUGGCUCUGGAGGAGCUCUGCUCCUGCUUCGGGGUGAUUUUCACGGCAACCUCUGUCCCGGCCGGGAUGUGCAGGGCCAGCUUCACCUGUGAAGGAGCCCUCCCCAAUGGUCCUGAGGAGCUCGUAAUCGUGAAGACAGGUCUGCCUGCCAGAGAGGUGGCAGCGAGGCCUGGAAGCAUGGUGACCUCAUAACUACACUUACUGACAAUACCAACCAGUGAUGCUAACUAUGCUUACUAACUACGCCAACAAACAAAAUGUUAGUCUGCUAACUAAUACUGACUAACAAUAGUAACAAGGCCACCGAUGCUUGCUAACUUACUAACUAUGCUAAUAAGUAACACUAACUAUACCAAAGAUGCUAACUCUACUAACUACACCAACAAUACUAACUAUACUAACUGUAAUAACAAUACUAACUAAAAAAUUGUUUUAAAAUGUGAAAAAGAACAAAAAAGGCAAGGAAAAAUAAAAAAUGAGAAAAGAACAGGUUUUCGUAAAUUCCAUCACAGUGGCUCCUUAUGAAGUCAGAGCAGGAAAUGCACCAGGCAUGGCUGGGGAUAAACUAUAGUGGUUGGCUCCCUUUUUGGUCUCAAGAACACGUUACUGUGAAAAAAAAAAAACAGGACAGCAAAGAGCUUUUUAUGUAUGUAGGAUAUUAGACAGUGAUAUUUACUUUAUUAGAAAUUAAAACCUGUAAGAUGCUUCAGUGGCCUUUUCAUUUCAUUUCUAAUUUUAAAAUCUCUAAUAAUUUUUGGCUGUUAAAGACCUCAAAACACCCACACUUAAAAUAUUCAACUCCUUUUCCUUAAACUCUGAUUACUCUCAAAAUGAUCCUACCACUGAAGGGCUGUCAUAAUCCUAUAGGAAAACUUUCUGUUGCAUGAGACCUGAGAAGGGACAUCAUUAACGCUGACAAAGCUGAGAGGAAGAGAGCUUUCCUCCUAUUUUCCCCAGUAAGAUCAGGAGCUGAUUUCUCACCAGAAACCUUGGAGGCCAGAGGGCAUGGGCUGACGUACCCAAAGUGCAGAAGUAAAAAAGAAUCCAACCAAG